GCACAAUAUAAUAUAUUUGUGUUAAAAUAAGUAACACAUUUACAUAAAAAAUUAUUUAUAACUAUAUGGUAAUGGAAAAUCUGUAAAUUGUAUAAUUGAUUUCCUUCUCAUUCUUUGCGUUGCCUCAUGAAAUUUCCUUACUCAAUCAUCCGUAAAUCCUCUCAACAGACGAUUGUACCCCACUUUACCCAAGGGUAAUCAAAAAAUAUGUCCAAGUUGUUGACAAUGGACAAGGUGUCAAUAUCGAUUCCUACAUUUAUUAUUUGAAGCAUUGAAUAUUCCUUCAAUAAUUAAAGCAAUGCCGAACUUGUAUUAAUCAGUCAGGGCGUCGACAAUCAAAGAAAAGCCUUAUCCAGUUGGGCACAUGAAAUUUUUUCCAUGGAUUUAAAGUAUUUGUCCUUAAAUCUAUUUUUUUCCAUGACUUUAGUAAACUCAUCGCCUUCUGGGGCAAGACCACAUUUUAAUCUCAUCACGACCACAUUUUUGUAAUUUGAACCCUGUCGGUGCCCUAUAUAGUGACCACAACUCCUCUGCCUCAUCAAUUCUAAUCAAUCUGAAUACUAGUUAUUGAAGUAAUUAGGCUGAGAAUUGUAUGUCAAGUAACUCGGCUAAGAACCCAAGGCAUGAGUUACCGAAAUCUUCCCAUUGUCGAUCGUUAAAAUUCUCCAAUAUGAUUUUCGUCCACUUGAAAUUGCUCCUUUGAGAAAUGUCGGCUCUCAAGCCUGCAUUUUCAGGAGCUUAGAAUUCAAAAUUCAUUUGCAAGAAUAAGGUACAAUAAGAAAGUAAAAAAGGUCAGAUUAUAAUAAUUCAUACAUGUUAAUUUAAAAC
Molecule: long non-coding RNA, 828 nt
Filed under: Olea europaea subsp. europaea
Lineage: Eukaryota; Viridiplantae; Streptophyta; Magnoliopsida; Lamiales; Oleaceae
Source: RNAcentral